GUUGUUUGGCUAAGUGGUUAAGGCGUGCGCCUACUAUCCCCACAACGAGAGUUCAAAUCUCUCAGGCUACA
This 71-nucleotide transfer RNA is filed under the name Salix viminalis (osier). It matches the Rfam family "tRNA". Rfam says of the family: Transfer RNA (tRNA) molecules are approximately 80 nucleotides in length. Their secondary structure includes four short double-helical elements and three loops (D, anti-codon, and T loops). The record is from RNAcentral. Lineage: Eukaryota; Viridiplantae; Streptophyta; Magnoliopsida; Malpighiales; Salicaceae.